RNAcentral lists this ribosomal RNA (504 nucleotides) under uncultured bacterium. Its description in RNAcentral is "partial 16S ribosomal RNA". It matches the Rfam family "Bacterial small subunit ribosomal RNA", at positions 30 to 523 of the family's 1533-position model. The record is from RNAcentral.
AUUGAACGCUGGCGGCAGGCCUAACACGUGCAAGUCGAACGGUAGCACAGAGAGCUUGCUCUCGGGUGACGAGUGGCGGACGGGUGAGUAACGUCUGGGAAACUGCCCGAUGGAGGGGGAUAACUACUGGAAACGGUAGCUAAUACCGCAUAACGUCGCAAGACCAAAGUGGGGGACCUUCGGGCCUCACACCAUCGGAUGUGCCUAGAUGGGAUUAGCUAGUAGGUGGGGUAAUGGCUCACCUAGGCGACGAUCCCUAGCUGGUCUGAGAGGAUGACCAGCCACACUGGAACUGAGACACGGUCCAGACUCCUACGGGAGGCAGCAGUGGGGAAUAUUGCACAAUGGGCGCAAGCCUGAUGCAGCCAUGCCGCGUGUAUGAAGAAGGCCUUCGGGUUGUAAAGUACCUUCAGCGGGGAGGAAGGCGGUGAAGUUAAUAGCUUCACCGAUUGACGUUACCCGCAGAAGAAGCACCGGCUAACUCCGUGCCAGCAGCCGCAGUAA